GACAGAGGAGCCAAGCGUUGUCCGGAUUGACUGGGCGUAAAGCGCACGCAGGUGGUGGGGCAAGUGCCGUGUGAAAGCCGGUGGCUUAACUGCCGGAGGCCAUGGCAGACUGCCUGACUUGAGCCCGAGAGAGGUCCGUGGAAUUGCCGGUGUAGUGGUGAAAUGCGUAGAUAUCGGGAGGAACACCAGUGGCGAAGGCGACUACCUGGCCUGUUCUUGACGCUGAGGCGCGAAAGCUAGGGGAGCAAACGGG
Molecule: ribosomal RNA, 253 nt
Filed under: uncultured bacterium
Lineage: Bacteria
Description: partial 16S ribosomal RNA
Rfam family: Bacterial small subunit ribosomal RNA
Source: RNAcentral